RNAcentral lists this ribosomal RNA (484 nucleotides) under uncultured bacterium. RNAcentral's name for it is "bacterial SSU rRNA". It matches the Rfam family "Bacterial small subunit ribosomal RNA", at positions 8 to 481 of the family's 1533-position model. The record is from RNAcentral.
AGAGUUUGAUCCUGGCUCAGAGUGAACGCUGGCGGCAGGCCUAACACAUGCAAGUCGAACGGCAGCACAGCAGUAGCAAUACUGUGGGUGGCGAGUGGCGGACGGGUGAGGAAUGCGUCGGAAUCUGCCUUUUUGUGGGGGAUAACGUAGGGAAACUUACGCUAAUACCGCAUACGACCUACGGGUGAAAGUGGGGGACCUUCGGGCCUCACGCAGAUAGAUGAGCCGACGCCGGAUUAGCUAGUUGGCGGGGUAAAGGCCCACCAAGGCGACGAUCCGUAGCUGGUCUGAGAGGAUGAUCAGCCACACUGGGACUGAGACACGGCCCAGACUCCUACGGGAGGCAGCAGUGGGGAAUAUUGGACAAUGGGCGCAAGCCUGAUCCAGCCAUGCCGCGUGUGUGAAGAAGGCCUUCGGGUUGUAAAGCACUUUUGUCCGGAAAGAAAUCCUUUCGAUUAAUACUCGGGAGGGAUGACGGUACCGA